GACAUACAAUGAUCUAUAUCAUUGUAUCAUUGAAGCUCUUUUCAAUGGGUCGAAACAAUUUAACUCUAACUCAAUCAAAGAUUGUUGAUCCAAAAUAACUCUAGUGAGCUCUCACAAUCCACCAGUAACACCUAACAGUAUAUAGUGGCAACCUAAUAAAAUUGAAAUGAACCUCUAAGUAUAGUUAAUAUAUGAUUCAAUCCCUCUAUCGUGAGUUCCAACUAGAAGGC
RNAcentral lists this long non-coding RNA (230 nucleotides) under Elaeis guineensis (African oil palm). RNAcentral's name for it is "long non-coding RNA (EGUI_LNC053831)". The record is from RNAcentral. Lineage: Eukaryota; Viridiplantae; Streptophyta; Magnoliopsida; Arecales; Arecaceae.